UAAACAUGGGCUUUAAAAAUAACAGGUGAUUAUGACUAAUGGGCGUAAACUUUAAGACGGUCUAGAAGAAGAGAAAGCGAAACUUCACUGCAUUCGCUUUGUUGCUGUUCUUCAGAGCACCUGACCAGAAUGGGCAAAAUAUACCAAGUUAUCGUUCUUGGUCUCAAAGGGGAAAAGAAAACGAUUGAUGUUGCAAACUCUGAAACGGAUUUCAACAACACCACUGUGGUGGCCUUCAAAGAAAAAAUCACAGAGAAAUUUCCUGAACUUAAAGGGCAGAAUUUUAAACUGAUGUACACUGAUGAACAGCUACAGGACGAUGAGACCUUCUCCAAGUACGAAAUCCAGACUGGCUCCAUUAUCGUUCUCAUUCUGCGCCUGCCUGGAGGAUCUGCACUGUAAAAUAAUGGGAUGAACACGGAAUCUUCAGCUUUCUGGACUUUUAAUUAAUAUUUUCUUGUCUUUUUAAGUUAAUCAAACUUGUAUGAGUAUUUGCCCUUAAUUAAUGUAUUUUGGAUGAUUACUUUACAAAUGUACAGACGUUCUUAAGUAGAAUGUAGCCUUUUUGCUUAUAAAUACAGUUUGCAUAUAGAUGGUAACCAAUACAUUCAUUUAAUGUUUACUGUUGCUGGUCGGCUUAUGUAAAUGCACUUUAGAAGUUACAUUGUCUCCAGUUUUCCGUCUAGUACUCGUAGUCGAUUUCCAGACAACAAAUCAUAAAAUACAUUUCUAAAUUAAUCUAUUGAAAGAAAUCUAAAUUAAAAUUAAAUUGCCUACAUCAAAUUCCAAAUAAUCAAUGGGAAAAUGCAGUACCAGUCUAAAGUUUUUUUUUUUAUUUAUUUUUUUAUUUUAUGAAUAUUCUACAUUGUAGACUCAUAUUAAAGACAUGAAAACAAUUUAGCGACACAUAUGAAAUUAAGUGUUUGGUCUCCACAAUCCCCUGACCUAAACCCAACUAAGAUUGGGGAUUUGGGAUAAGAUGGAGCGCAGUGUGAAGAAAAAGCAUAAACUAUUGUUUAACACUGGAAUUCUGUCAAGACGCUGAAAAAACUAUUCCAGGUGACUCUACCUUAUUAAGACACUGCAUGGGAAAAUACCAAGAGUGUGCAGAUCUUUCCUCAAAGCUAAAUAUGGCUGCUUAAAAGAAUCUAAUGUCUACAACUUUCUAGUUUGUUUAACACAUUUUGUUUAGAACAAAAUUCUGCAUGUGUUUCGAUAGUUGUAAUGUUUUCAAUAUUACAUUUACACUGUAAAAACAAGUGAAUGAGAAGAGGUGUGUCCAAGAAUUAGACAGGUACUGUAUAUAUUAUUCUUAUUGUACUUACACACCUCAAUUUGCUUAAAUUAUGUGUGGAAAAAAAAUAUGUUACGUCUAAAAUUAACGGCCUAGAAAAUGAAGCGAAAAAGCGUUGUCGGCUUUGCCGUAUAUGACCCAAUAUCGUCUUUUUACAUGAUGGGUAUAUGCAGAAAUACUGUGCAGUUUUUUUAGAGUAUAGUUUCCUUAUGUAAAAUUAUGUACGAAAUAGGUUAAUUAUUAAAAUACACAUAUACAGUACAAAAUAUUGCAAAACUAUUUGAAAGCUAGGUGCAUGGCUUAGUCUAGAGCUCUCUGUUGCAUUUUUUAAUACACCUAGCUAGUGUUUGGUUUGAACUUAAUGGCUUAGCAAUGUAACAAAACUGGUUGACCUAUGUGAUUUAAACCACCUGGAGCAUUGUAAAGGUAGAUUUGAAAAGCUAAAUUAGACUUUUAAGCUGUUUCAUUUUUUCAGUAAGAAAUUGUAGGCUAUGUACUGAGGGUAGAAGUUUUAAACUGAACUGUGUGGAAUUUACCUGAACCAGAUGUACAUGUAGUUUCAGACACUAAUUUCCUCUUUGCUCACACGACAGCAGUUUUCUGAACCCUUUAAAGCGUUGAAGUGAAACUGAAACGGCCAGAGCUAUUUCAUCUAGCUCUGUGCGCUUUGUAAACAGGUUUUUUUGCUUUGUAAAAGACAAGAGAUCGUUACUCGGCGGUGUUAUGGGGUGCGUUUUAAGUCUAUUGCGAAAACUUGCAGCAAAUCCAUUUGUACAAAAAAGCCCCAGGCAUGGAGCCAUUACAUACAAUGGCUUAAUAAAUCAGGGCUCAACCUGCUACCUAAACACAGUGCUACAGUGUCUCUGCAUGACCAAAGACUUCAGAACAGCAGUGGAGAACUUUCAACCAGGACAGAAUGACUCCCACCAGGGAAGAACUGAUCUGUUAAUACAGCUGCAACAACUGUUUGAAACACUUAAAGAGACUCAAGGCACCACUCAAGGGAUAACUAAAAGUUUGGGCAUCAAGAGUGUGUAUAAGCAGCAAGAUGCAGUGGAAUACUAUCAGAAAAUCGUAAAAGCAGUUGGGCCACCAGCAUCACAGGUACCAUUAUUAUCUAUAAAGUGAGUAUUGCACCACUACUGUAUUUCUUAAUUGAAGUUGUUUAUUUUCAGGUGUUUGAAGGGAAAAUGAGCAACAAAAGCGAAUGUGUGCAAAGCCACAUUUUUCAGGAGAGUUGUUCCUUCAUCACAAUCCCUCUAGCCAUAGAAUGUGGAGACGAUGAGUUGUACAAAGUGGAGGAGGGAUUUGAGGCUUUUUUUAAACAUUCAAAGUUAGAUGAAGACAACUGGUUGUACUGUGACGAAUGUGACCAAAAAGCAGAAUCAGAGACUGUGAGUACAUAAGUGUGUCACACUUGUCCGUCUUUAAUUGACCUCAUAUGUUUGCUCUUUUAAUGUGGGUCUAACAUUUUCAUUAACAGACGGAUGGCUUUCCCCAAAGUUCACAGCUGCCCUACUUACUGAUGUACAAACUGCAAAGAGCACAAGGAUCAUGGAGAAGUUAUGCACUGCAUAAACUCAAACAACCUUGUGUGUCAUUAUAUUAUUUUUGUUCAUUUGUUCGUAUAUUUGUAGGUUUGUUCGGCAUUAUCAGUAUUUGUCUGUAUAUGCCUGGAAUUUUAAGGUCUCUUAGAUCCAGACUUUGCAGGUUGGUUAGUUUUUUGUGAGGCAUGAUGGCAGAAACAACAAGAAAUCAAGGAGUAUUAAAUCAAAAUUACAUUACAUUACAUUUGGCAGACACUUUUGUCCAAAGUGACUUACAAUAAUGAUGUACAUAUAGUAAUACAAGUUUAAGGUAAAAAAAUAAAGACAGGGCCUAAAGGAGGCCAAAGGGAAAUAGUGUGAUAUAGGAGGAAAGGAGGGGAAGAAGGAAAUGAGGUUAGAAGUCGUUUGUUAGAGGUGUUAGGAGAGCAAGUGUUCUUUUAAGAGUUAUGUCUACAUUACAUUACAUUUAUGGAUAAUAUCAUACAAUAUCAUAUAAUCAAAUUGAAUAUAUACUAAAAAUAUUUUGGUGAAUGUAAGGGUGAGGUAUUAAACAAUCAGGUUUCUGUAUAAUGAGUAGAAUGUCUAUCGUAAGAUUUACAGAUUGCAAGUGAACCAGAUAUGCAAAUGCAACUAAAGAUUUAAGGAUAAGAACAGCAAACCACAACCAGAAAUGUCCAAGGUGUGACUGUGAAUGAUUAAAAGUAGCAGCAAAACUAAAACAACAAGCAUAGGCCCAAAAACACAGUGGCAAAACAAAAAUAAAUUAUUAUAUUCUAAGUGUGUAACAGUAUGUUGUUUAAUUGUAUGUAUGACCUUUAAAACGGAUACAUGUACAUACUAUGUACAAAUUGUGUGAAAUAAACUGUAAUGAAACAUGAUCUUUUCAACUGUCUAUGUAGACUUUGUAAAUAAAAUGAAACAUUUACACA
RNA transcript from Astyanax mexicanus (Mexican tetra), 3770 nucleotides. RefSeq lists it as uncharacterized. The transcript has 8 exons. The record is from RefSeq and is a predicted model, not a curated record. NCBI's taxonomy places the organism in Eukaryota, Metazoa, Chordata, Actinopteri, Characiformes, Acestrorhamphidae.